UCAUGUUCGCCUCGUUUAAUAAACGAGCCGAACAUGAGCUAGCUUGUUAAAGUAUCGAGCCGAAAAAUUUAGCUCGUGUUCAGCUCGCUGGCCAACGAACAAUAAGUUAAAAGGAUUAGAUUGAAUAUAUAUAAAAAAUAAAUUUAUAAAAUCUUAUCCAUUAGACUUUGAUCUAAUAGUUGAAAUUUUACAUAUAAAUGAAUCUUUUUAUAAUUAAGCUUGUAUUUAUAUUUUUAUUUUGCUAAAAAUUAAAUAAUAAAAAUAUAUAUUAUAUAUAUAAUUAUUUAUUUAUAUAUAUAAAUAUAAAUUAAAUAAAUUAUAUAAAUAUAAAAUAUAUGUAUUCGAGUUGUUUUUGAGCCGAACACGAGCGAGCUAACCCCAGCUUGUGUUCGACUCGUUUAAUAAACGAAUCGAAAAAUUCAGCUCGUGUUCAGCUCGUUUACUAAAUGAACGAUUCGAUUUCAAGCUCAUUUCGAGCCGAACACGAGCUGGCUCGCGAACAGCAAGCUAAAUUGCCACCCCUAACCCAAAGUAAAUCUUAACACAUUG
This 549-nucleotide long non-coding RNA is filed under the name Ananas comosus (pineapple). Its description in RNAcentral is "long non-coding RNA (ACOM_LNC012730)". The record is from RNAcentral. Lineage: Eukaryota; Viridiplantae; Streptophyta; Magnoliopsida; Poales; Bromeliaceae.